UACGUAGGGUCCGAGCGUUGUCCGGAAUUAUUGGGCGUAAAGGGCUUGUAGGCGGUUUGCUGCGUCGGAAGUGAAAACUCAGGGCUUAACCCUGAGCCUGCUUCCGAUACGGGCAAACUAGAGGGAUGCAGGGGAGAAUGGAAUUCCUGGUGGAGCGGUGGAAUGCGCAGAUAUCAGGAGGAACACCGGUGGCGAAGGCGGUUCUCUGGGCAUUUCCUGACGCUGAGAAGCGAAAGCGUGGGGAGCAAACAGGCUUAGAUACCCUGGUAGUCCACGCCGUAAACGGUGGGCACUAGGUGUGGGGAACAUUCCACGUUCUCCGUGCCGAAGCUAACGCAUUAAGUGCCCCGCCUGGGGAGUACGGCCGCAAGGCUAAA
This 377-nucleotide ribosomal RNA is filed under the name uncultured bacterium. RNAcentral describes it as "bacterial SSU rRNA". It matches the Rfam family "Bacterial small subunit ribosomal RNA", at positions 524 to 898 of the family's 1533-position model. The record is from RNAcentral.